GCCGAGAUAGCUCAGUUGGUAGAGCACGCGACUGAAAAUCGCGGUGUCGGCAGUUCGAUCCUGCCUCUCGGCACCA
Molecule: transfer RNA, 76 nt
Filed under: Chloroflexota bacterium
Lineage: Bacteria; Bacillati; Chloroflexota
Description: Chloroflexi bacterium tRNA-Phe
Rfam family: tRNA
About the family: Transfer RNA (tRNA) molecules are approximately 80 nucleotides in length. Their secondary structure includes four short double-helical elements and three loops (D, anti-codon, and T loops).
Source: RNAcentral